RNAcentral lists this ribosomal RNA (348 nucleotides) under Priestia endophytica. Its description in RNAcentral is "bacterial SSU rRNA". It matches the Rfam family "Bacterial small subunit ribosomal RNA", at positions 1 to 336 of the family's 1533-position model. The record is from RNAcentral. Lineage: Bacteria; Bacillati; Bacillota; Bacilli; Caryophanales; Bacillaceae.
UCUAUGGAGAGUUUGAUCCUGGCUCAGGACGAACGCUGGCGGCGUGCCUAAUACAUGCAAGUCGAGCGRAGUUUUGAAAAGCUUGCUUUUCAAAACUUAGCGGCGGACGGGUGAGUAACACGUGGGCAACCUGCCCUUGAGACGGGGAUAACUCCGGGAAACCGGAGCUAAUACCGGAUAACACAUAUCUUCGCAUGAGGAUAUGUUAGAAGGUGGCUUUUAGCUACCACUCAAGGAUGGGCCCGCGGCGCAUUAGCUAGUUGGUGAGGUAACGGCUCACCAAGGCGACGAUGCGUAGCCGACCUGAGAGGGUGAUCGGCCACACUGGGACUGAGACACGGCCCAGAC